GUCCUUGAUGCACCUAACUUGGUCUAGAUCCCGCGCCUUCCUCUCCCUCACUUUAGCCAACCGGAAUAACUUCCUGUCCCCCCUUUCUCCUCGUACAUGCGCCCAAACGCAGCAUUUUUAGCUUCCGUGACCGCCAGUUUCGCUUCCUUCCGCGCCACCUAGUAGUUUUCCUUGUUCGCUCUCCUUUCUUCUUCGCUUGAGCUCCCUGACAACUUAGCAAACGC
Molecule: long non-coding RNA, 224 nt
Filed under: Nicotiana benthamiana
Lineage: Eukaryota; Viridiplantae; Streptophyta; Magnoliopsida; Solanales; Solanaceae
Description: long non-coding RNA (NBEN_LNC000710)
Source: RNAcentral